UCUCUAAUGAUGUUUGACACAGUGACUUUCGUUCUUCUGAAAUCUACUGAAGACUCACUUUCUGUCCUGAAUGGA
Molecule: small nucleolar RNA, 75 nt
Organism: Synchiropus splendidus (mandarinfish)
Lineage: Eukaryota; Metazoa; Chordata; Actinopteri; Syngnathiformes; Callionymidae
Product: small nucleolar RNA SNORD59
Exons: 1
Source: RefSeq, a predicted model, not a curated record